RNAcentral lists this ribosomal RNA (253 nucleotides) under uncultured bacterium. Its description in RNAcentral is "partial 16S ribosomal RNA". It matches the Rfam family "Bacterial small subunit ribosomal RNA", at positions 524 to 776 of the family's 1533-position model. The record is from RNAcentral.
UACAGGGGGGGCAAGCGUUGUUCGGAAUUACUGGGCGUAAAGGGUCUGUAGGUGGCCAACUAAGUCAGACGUGAAAUCCCUCAGCUUAACUGGGGAACUGCGUCUGAUACUGGAUGGCUUGAGUGUGGGAGAGGAAUGCGGAAUUCCAGGUGUAGCGGUGAAAUGCGCAGAUAUCGGGAGGAACACCGGUGGCGAAGGCGGUUCUCUGGGCCUUACCUGACGCUGAGGAGCGGAAGUGUGGGGAGCGAACAGG